GCUAAAGUUAGUUUAAAAGAAAAAUGCUUGCUUGUGGAGCAAGUAAUAGCAGAUAUGCUACUUUAGC
RNAcentral lists this transfer RNA (67 nucleotides) under Euciroa cf. queenslandica STW-2017. Its description in RNAcentral is "tRNA-His". It matches the Rfam family "tRNA". Rfam says of the family: Transfer RNA (tRNA) molecules are approximately 80 nucleotides in length. Their secondary structure includes four short double-helical elements and three loops (D, anti-codon, and T loops). Further hydrogen bonds mediate the characteristic L-shaped molecular structure. tRNAs have two regions of fundamental functional importance: the anti-codon, which is responsible for specific mRNA codon recognition, and the 3' end, to which the tRNAs corresponding amino acid is attached (by aminoacyl-tRNA synthetases). tRNAs cope with the degeneracy of the genetic code in two manners: having more than one tRNA (with a specific anti-codon) for a particular amino acid; and 'wobble' base-pairing, i.e. permitting non-standard base-pairing at the 3rd anti-codon position. Lineage: Eukaryota; Metazoa; Mollusca; Bivalvia; Euciroidae. The record is from RNAcentral.